Molecule: microRNA precursor, 88 nt
Filed under: Pongo abelii (Sumatran orangutan)
Lineage: Eukaryota; Metazoa; Chordata; Mammalia; Primates; Hominidae
Description: miRNA
Source: RNAcentral
CCCGGUAGAAAGGGAAGAGCUGAGCGAUCUUCACCCUUGUUAGCUUGUGUUACAACGCCAAUAAGUCUGAUGCUCGCUUUUUCUCCUA